GCGUAGGAAUCUACCUGGUAGUGGGGACGAACUUGGGAAACCCGAAACGCUAAUAACCGCAUACGCCCUUCCGGGGUAAAGGGUAGGGGGAGGUCUUCGGUACCGUCCACGCUAUCAGAUGAGCCUGCGUCGGAUUAGCUAGUUGGUGGGGUAAAAGGACCUACCAAGGCGACGAUCCGUAGCUGGUCUGAGAGGACGAUCAGCCACACUGGGACUGAGACACGGCCCAGACUCCUACGGGAGGCAGCAGUAGGGAAUAUUGCGCAAUGGGCGAAAGCCUGACGCAGCCAUGCCGCGUGU
This 300-nucleotide ribosomal RNA is filed under the name uncultured bacterium. Its description in RNAcentral is "bacterial SSU rRNA". It matches the Rfam family "Bacterial small subunit ribosomal RNA", at positions 115 to 404 of the family's 1533-position model. The record is from RNAcentral.